Molecule: long non-coding RNA, 409 nt
Filed under: Homo sapiens (human)
Lineage: Eukaryota; Metazoa; Chordata; Mammalia; Primates; Hominidae
Description: HSALNT0393333
Source: RNAcentral
CUCGCUCUCAUUUUGGUAACAAUGGAAGUGUUUAAAGAAACAAAUCCCUGCUUAAUUUGUCGACCUCCUAUUGGGCUGCACCUCCUAGAGGCCAUUAGGCCUCAUCCCAGUUACUUCGGUAACAAACAGAAAGAGGCCCAACCGAUGCCGAAAUCCAAAGAAAAAUAGACACUCGACACAGAAUAAGAACCAUGGCCUGGACCUACUACCUUCUCCAGACUUCCUGAGACCAACAUUACAGAUCACCGUUUGACCCUAUUCUGCCAUGACAUCGUUUCUUCAUCAAAGGACACCUGUGCUUUUGUGAUAUGUUUAUGUUCUAGUCUGGUUCUCAAAUUUUCAGGACCACAAGAUGCAUUUUAUCUGUUUACUCUGUAUGAUCCAAUGGUUGUAAAUUGAUUUGCACUAA